GCUUUGCUUGACAGAAUGAGUUUCCAGCCCAGUCUUGAUGCCUGUGUUGUUUUGUUUGCGGUUUCUCUAAGUGUCUUGGCUGACAGGGAAAUCUUCAAACAGCAAAACCUCUUUAAGAAUGGUAUCCACUUUUUCAACUCAUGGCGUAACAACAUUUUGAAAUGGCACCUCUUUUUUAUGUAUUAAGUCUUUAGGGCUUAGGAUAAUUUUUUUGGACAUUUUUAAGGAACACAAUACUCACACUAUUAAUACAAUGCCAAAUGGAAACUCAGUAUCAGAGAUAGGUAUUGUUAAGUUAUUGAUAUUCAUUAAGUGCACUCUCCAAUAUGACUCUUUCAGUUUUUUCUCUUUGAAUUUGCCUGUGAAUAUUCUAUUGGAACAUACUGCCUGUGGAGAGGGGAUGUCAAGGAGAAAUGUAACAUAUAAUUAUCUGAUCAAAAUUAUGUGUGUGUUUGUCAGGAGAGAGAACUCAAACACAUUUACUUGAAGGGAUACUGCAUUUGUAUAUUUACAUCUGAAUUUUGUUUAAUUUUAACAUAUUCCUCACUCUGUAAUAUUCUGUAAUAAAUAUUAUGAGGCCCUAAUUGUAUUCUUUCCAAAAUAAUAAUGUAAAUUAUGUUACACUCUUUAGUUCAUAUAUUUUUAUUCAACCAGUGAAUUAUCUGUACACUGUAUGCCUUUUAGUAAUUUCUUUGCUCAUUAAUCCUCAGGAAGGAGGUGGGAAAAUAUAAAGUUAUGAAACAAAAUUCUCUCACUUUUUUUGUUGAUGGCAUGGCCAAGAGAUUUGGAAAAAACCAUUAUUGACUUCUAAACACCAUCUUGUCCAUGGCAAUGAAGCAAGAGUCUCUUUCACAAUGGGACCAGUGCAGAAGGAACAGCAGAAAGAAGGAAGGCAGGUGGGUGCUGUCUACCCUCAGCACUGGCUCACCCACUGGGUGUGUAUUUGAGUGCUUAGGCCAUGUGACUUGAGAGGCACUCAUCACCAUCUCUUUCUAUACCCCAAAAUCUCCAUUUACUGGCUGAUGCUUGAAACAACUCCAAAGACUUUUAUUUCACAACUAGAAAGAAGGCUAAAGUCUCUUGGGAAUAGUAACAAUGACAUAGAUUUAGUCCAAAGUGUAGAUUACUGUAUUAGGAUUCUUUCCUUAAGGUAGAUGAUGGGGGGAAGUUUGUUUUAGGAAUAAAAGAUGAAAAGUAAAAGGAUGUGGAUAUCUUAAGGAGAAUGGAAGUAAUAGAGUGUAAAUCUGGAAAGUGAAAGGGCCUGGAAAAAGAGAGACCAGGGGUGAAAACCUAUUUUCACAGUCUAUUCAGGGCCAGUCCCACCCAUUAGGUUAGUGACCUAGAAAGAAAAGGAUGUUCCCCAGAGUUCUAAUUGUAGUAAAUGUUUGUAAUCUAUUUUCAGCAUCAAUUCCAAGCAUUUAUUUGAUGAGUUUAUUUUUCUUAAGUUUGUUCAUUUAUCUUCCUUGUUUUAAAAGAUUAAAACAUGUUGUUUCUUUAAAAAAGAAACCCUACCACCAAAAAGUGCUGGUUUCUUCCACUGUAUUCUCAGAACAUUGUUUGCAUGUAUCCUAAUUAGUGUCAUAGAGGCAGAUUUGCAUGAUGAGUCAGAACAUGAACUUUAGAAUCAGAGUUAGUUUUGAUUUCUGACUUUGUCAUCUGCAACUUGUGUGACUUUGGUUGUGUCCUUAACUUACCUCUCCCUGAGUUUUCUUGUCUGUAAACUGGUGAUAAUAAUACUAUGUCAUGAGGUUAGGGGGACUGAAUGAGACCACAUCUGCAAAGAACUUUGCACAAAGCCUGCCGUAUAUAAGCACUCAGUAAAUGAAUGGGAGCCUUGUGGUGAUGGUGAUCAUGAUGAGUUAAGUGUUUUACCACAGCGAAUAUAAAAUUCUCAAACUAAGGGACAAUGUCUUAGCUAUUUUUAUUCGCUUUGUAUAUAGCAUCAAAAUUGCAUACAGUACACAAGAGUAUAUUUAAUUAGCUAAGUCAAUAAGCAUAUAAACCACGUAAAUUAAUUGAUGGCUUUUUUUAAGUUGGUAAAAUGAGUUACAAUAAUGGAAUAUUAGCAAACAAAUGUAGUUGGAUUGAAAUACAUGAUAAUUUCAGUUGCGAAUAAAGUGUUACCAAAUAGAGGCCUUCUGGAAAUCUUAUUUGCUGAUGAGAAAACAAAUUUGAAGUUAAUAGGCUGACAUGAAACAGUAUUUCUAAGUUUGAAAAUAAUUCUUCUCAUUCAGUAAAUUAAAAAUUUCUUUGUAUAUUUUUCUUUCAUACUGUUUUUGUUGGCAAACUUUUUGGUUUUUAUUCUUAUUUUAUACAGUGGAUAUUAAAGAGUGCAAAAAAAUUUAAAGAAAUUUGGGAAAACAUCCAAUAUGAGUAUAAAAUAAAGAAAUUGAGAAUGUUUGAAAUAAUAGGGAGAUCAUGAAGAGGAAAUAAUAUCAAUCUUCAAAUAUACAUAGAAUCCUGAUGUGUCUUUCAAUCAAGAUUUUGACUGAAUAUGACAAUAAAUCCAACCCAAGCAAACUUAAUGAAAAAAAGGAAUGUUUUAGUCUAUGUAACUGAAAAGCUGUAGUGAAGAAGUUCCCCUUCAUACUUGGCUGGAUAUUUUAAGACCAAGUCACUCUUUCUUUCUGCAUUUCCUCUUCUUAUGUUGGCCCCACUUCCAACAGUUCUUGCUUCCAUUGGGCAAUAUGGUGGGCAGAGGAUCUACACCUCCAACUCUGCCAAAACUGAGUGUUUCUCUUGCUCAGUAUUUCAAAGUAAAAGUUCUGCUCUGGAUUAGGUUUCAUGCUCAUUCCUAAAUGAAUAGCUAUGAUCAUGGGAGUACGAUGAAUCCAUGUUUAAAUCAUAGGUCCACUUCUGGAGAUAGUAGCUCUCCAAAACACCAGAGCUAAAUAUACUGAAGCUUGGUGAUGGUUCUCCAGAGAAAUAUCUAGCUGUGAUUUGGAGAAAAUAAAGAGAAAGAGUAGCAAUGAUAAACUGGAAGAUGAAGUCCUUGUAUUCUGUAUUGCUCCGCAGGACACAGCUAAAAUCAAUUAGAAGAAAUAACUGUAAGGAUGAUUAUAGUUUCACAGAAAUUACCAAGAAUUUAGAACUUACAAAGAAUGUGCCCAUCUCGGAAGUUAAAGGAUUCCCAGGGAAACUUGUCUUCAAGUUCUGGCUUGGUGACUGACCAUCUGUGGUAGCCUGGACUAAAUGAUCUUUAAGAUAUUUUCUUAGAUUAUAGGUGGUUACUAGAUUUCUUCCUUCAAGUUUGGAUGAGAUAAAGAGAUCAGAUGCUAAAUUCUUCAGAGGUUAGAUGUUUAAAACAUUAUUUCCAAGGGAUCUGCUUAAUGAAAACACAGAGCAUGUAGGAAGGACCUUCCACAGAAGGAAACACACUUCACUGAAAAUUCAAACAUGGGCAACACUGAUGCUUAUGUGUUUCUUGAUAUUUAAGCUUCAGAAUGUUUCUUCUCAUUUAUUGUUUUACCAAUUCCCCAUUUAAGGAAGAUAAAGCAUGACUCUCUCCAGUUUCAUAAUAUGUAAUCUUUUAAAAUUUUUGUGCUCUGAAUUGUUAUCUAAAAAAUGCAAUUUUUUUUUCCAAAAAAAAGGAGGGGGCUCACAAAGAUGAUGUGAUAAAUUGAUUAAGAGUUACCCUUUGGUCUUUAAAUAGAUUUCUGUUCAUAAGGAUAUAAACAGGAAAUUAGGAAAUGAAAUCAGUAAUAAUUGAGCAUCAAUUACGUGCCAGGUUCUUUAUAUGAUUUGUAUCAUUUAACCCUCACAGUAUAAAACUUUCUAUUUACAUGUAAAAAACUCAACGAGGUGAGUUAACUCACCUGAGUUAAGUUAUUUAACAAAACAUAAAACUUGCCCAAGGUAAUAUGCCUCUUCAGCUGGCAGAGCCUAAAUUCAAAUCUGUAUCUUCCAUUUCUAAAACCAUUCUCACCAUGUUGUCUGUCUGAAAGAGAUGAAAAAUAUGAACCUAUUUUCUAUAAAUUCCUGAGAGUGCUAAGAAUUUCAUUAUUUCCUAUCAACUUGAUUUUUCUGUUGAUGUUCCAAUGCAGUUCCAUUAAUUGGAGUGAUGGUACUACAGGGAAAUUAAUAAAUGCAGAUUACUAAAGCAAAAGUGAAAUCAGAAGUGAGUCCAUAAUUCACUAAAAAAAUACAAAAAAUAUUGAUCGUGCAUUUUACAAUUUUGAUAAUGGCAAUUUUCUAUAGGAUUUGGUAUCUAGAAUUAUUACCUUAUAUCUUCUCUGCUCUUCAUUGAGUUGGAAUGGUCAUCUUCCCUUUCUCUGAACUUUCAAAAAUGGACCCAUUUAAGUUGAAAUAUGGUCCCAAACUAUUUUUCUUUAUUGAAGGGAAAAAGUAGCUUGUUUUGAAUUUAAACUUUGUUGUGAAUUUGCUGCAUUAAUUUCUAGCCAAAGUGUUUAUAAUAAUUCCAAAGAAAAGAACAUAUCGAAAAGCUUUUACUACUUAACAUAUUGAAGAAUUAAUUAUGAUAUUAUUUCCCUAGAAAGGUUAAUUGGAUUUCUUUCCUACAGACAAUGAAAGGUGAAUUAAAAAGAGAAAAGCCUAUUAGCACUCACUAUGGGCUGUAAAAGCUUCAGUUUUAAAAAAUAAGAACUGACACAUGAAAAGUUGUGGUUUCAUAAAAAUAAAUUAUUUUUUUGCUGUAAGAAAACUUUGAUGUAUAGGUAGAUCAGAGAAAGACUGUUGAAAGUUUUGAGGAAAGUAGGUAAGAAAAAGAACCGUCUCGACAAAUGGAAGGGACAAUGAGGUAGGAAACUUGGAGAGUCAUCUGCUUGGCAGAUGUGUGCUUUGGAGUCUUUUUGAUGGAUGUUUAUUUACCAUUUAUAUCUUAUGAUCAGUAAAUAAACUGUUGCUGCAUUACUUAUCUCACAGAAUAUUUUAAAAAGUUUACAGCUUGCUGUGGAAAGUUAAAUUCUUUUAGGAGAUUUUGGUUGAAACUCUAAGAACAACCAACAAUUCUUACCUGAUCUUGGUCUGACAAUGAACAAUGAAGGAUAAUAACAUAUUUCUUAAUUUUACAUUGAUUGGCUCAGUUAUUGAAAACCAAAAGCACACAUAUCUUCUAAGAAAUCACAAACAGUAUGGCCUAAGUAAGGAUGAAUUGUAGUAAAAUGUCUAAUAUCAAAUGUGAUAUUGCGGAGGAUAAUAAAUAGCAAGAGAAUGGAAUCUCUAUGUAGUUUUGGUUCUUCUCUGCAACUUUAAGACUAUGACCUUAGGCAAUUUACAUUACUUCCUAAUCUGCAAACUGGAGUUAUAGUUAACUAUACUGUAAGGUUGGUGUAAGAAUCAAAAGAUAUAACAUAUAUGAGUUCCCAGUAGAUAGUAGGGAUGCAAUAAAUUUUUAGUACAACUUGAUUGAAAUAAAUAAUUAGAAGGAUCCAGGGAAUAUGUGGAGAGGAUACUUGAUGAGAAACUUUCAAUAUUUAUGAUUGAUUAUUGUUUUGUCAAUAUUGAAUAUAACUAUUGCAUACAAAAUGAUACAAGCUUACAUGGUGGAAGUAACUAAGUGUUACAAUAGUUACCAAUUAGCUGUGUAGGUGUUAGGCUAGACUCAAUUAAAGAUCCUUUCUAGAUCUUACCUUUAAUUUUAAAAUUACUUUUAAAUGACCUUUAAAAAUAUACAGUAUGUAGUUGAUCCAUUCACAUUUAUUACGAAGCACUUGAUGAGUACCUAACUCUGUGCAAAACAUUGUUUUAAGCGAGGUUUCUGACCUGGGUGACUGACAACACAAAGUAAUAUAGGGAAUAUAGUCAUAUAGUCAGCCCUCUGUAUCUGCAGACUGUGCAUCCAUGGGUUCCACCAACGCUGGAUCAAAAAUAUUUUUAAAAUAUUCCAUCUUGUCAACCACAAGUCUCUUCUCCACAUCCAUGAUUUUCUUUUUUGUGGAAAGGUUCACUUGUGCCUUAUUUUAGAUUCCAGAUAUAGGUGAUAUCAUAUGGUAUUUGUCUUUCUCUUUUUGACUUACUUCACUUAGUAUGAGAGUCUCUAGUUCCAUCCAUGUUGCUGCAAAUGGCAUUAUUUUGAUCCUUUUUAUGGCUGAGUAGUAUUCCAUUGUGUAUAUAUACCAGAAUAAGCAAUGAGAUCCUGCUGUAUAGCACUGGGAACUAUAUCUAGUCACUUCUGAUGGAGGAUGAUAAUGUGAAAAAAAAGAAUGUAUACAUGCAUGUGUGACUGAGUCACCUUGCUAUACAGAAGAAAAUUGACAGAAUACUAUAAACCAGCUAUAACGGAAAAAGUAAAAAUCAAUAUUAAAAAAAUUCUGGGAGUUCCCGUCGUGGUGCAGUGGUUAACGAAUCCGACUAGGAACCAUGAGGUUGCGGGUUCAGUCCCUACCCUUGCUCAGUGGGUUAAGGAUCCGGUGUUGCUGUGAGCUGUGGUGUAGGUUGCAGACACGGCUCGGAUCUCGCAUUGCUGUGGCUCUGGCGUAGGCCGGUGGCUACAGCUCCGAUUGGACCCCUAGCCUGGGAACCUCCAUAUGCCGCGGGAGCAGCCCAAGAAAUAGC
This 6513-nucleotide long non-coding RNA is filed under the name Sus scrofa (pig). RNAcentral describes it as "lncRNA (ENSSSCG00000052524.1)". The record is from RNAcentral. Lineage: Eukaryota; Metazoa; Chordata; Mammalia; Artiodactyla; Suidae.